RNAcentral lists this ribosomal RNA (253 nucleotides) under uncultured bacterium. Its description in RNAcentral is "partial 16S ribosomal RNA". It matches the Rfam family "Bacterial small subunit ribosomal RNA", at positions 524 to 776 of the family's 1533-position model. The record is from RNAcentral.
UACGUAGGGUGCAGGCGUUAAUCGGAAUUACUGGGCGUAAAGCGUGCGCAGGCGGUUUGCUAAGACAGGUGUGAAAUCCCCGGGCUUAACCUGGGAAUUGCAUCCGAUACUGGAUGGCUUGAAUCCGGGAGAGGGAUGCGGAAUUCCAGGUGUAGCGGUGAAAUGCGUAGAUAUCUGGAGGAACACCGGUGGCGAAGGCGGCAUCCUGGACCGGCAUUGACGCUGAGGAGCGAAAGCCAGGGGAGCAAACGGG